UGGUUCUUAGAAAGGAUAGAUGGUUGGCAUCUCCCCUGACAGGGACGGGAACAGCUUUCCGGUUUUCUUGUUACCACACAUCCGGUUAAAUCUAUUCAGGUGGAUCUAUAACCCAAUAUUUUU
RNAcentral lists this non-coding RNA (123 nucleotides) under Salix viminalis (osier). Lineage: Eukaryota; Viridiplantae; Streptophyta; Magnoliopsida; Malpighiales; Salicaceae. The record is from RNAcentral.